CUUUUUUCCAAAUCUGCUUUUCAUUCAGAAUAUUGCCUUUGCUAGCCAAGCUUUUGCGCAAUUGCAAGGUGCUGUGUUGCGGAGCAGUGAUCGGGGUGGUCUUCGUGUCGAGUUUGCUAAGGCUAAUAUGGGAGAACCGAAGAGAUUGGAGGUAGCCAUACGCCAGUCACCAGGACAACCGCAAGUUCUAUUCCAGUAAUUCAUUGUGUUGCUAUGGCAAUUGUAAAUAGCCCUAGCUUGUUGAAAGUACUUGAAAUCUAUGCCAUUGUUAAUUGCCACUGAUGGUUCACCAACAAGUUGUGUUAUCUACACCUUUUCUCAUGCCUGACUAUCCAUCCUGGAGAUGGCCGGCACAUUUUUAUAUCUUGUUACUGUGUUAAUACGAGCCACCUUUUGGCAAGCUGAUCGCCGUCCAAUAUAGAACAGAGUUUAAAUUUAAGACAAUUUUUGACAACUUGUGAAGUUUGUAUGUGAGACUGCUUAAUAAGAUGACAUUGUCUGGUACAGAGUACUGGAUUGUCUUUUAGCCAGUUAUAGCCUAACUGGUGUACCAAUUGUAAAAGCAAUUGUGAUUGGUCUACCAUUUAUAACAUUGGUUUACUUAUUGUCACCGCAAUUGUAAUUUGUUUAGAGAUUUUAGCGCAGCAAUUGUAACUGAUUUACAAAUUCCAACUGGUUGUUACCAAUAGCAACUAGUUGAAACUUGCUUUAACCAGUUGCAACUUGUUGUAACUGGUUUUGACAACUGCAACUAGUUGUAAUUGGUUUAACUAUUGCAACUAGCUAUAUCUUGUUAAUCAUUUGCAACUAGUUAUAACUGUUUUUUCCCAGUUGCAACUAGUGUAACUGGUGUGGUUAAUCAGUUGGCUCUAGAUUCAACUUGUUUGGUACAAUGCAAUUAUUAAAAUUUAUGCUUGGUAAUCCAGUGGCCAAGUGCUAAUUAAUGUUGAAAUGCAUUAAAAAUUAAAUCAUAUUUCGAAUUGAAUUCAAAGCGAUAGUUUUGUUUUUAGGGUAAGAGUACAUUUUUGCCCCAAGAGGUAGAUAGGUUUGUGUGCUAUUAAAAUAUCUCUGUAUAUUUAGUAGAAAAUUCAAAGAAAAAUGUUUGUACCUGCAAUUAUUUCUCGGCAGUGUUGAUUUUUUUAAUUCUUGCUCAAGAGACUAGCAUAAUGGGUUAGAUGUGCCAGUGCAAUUUAAUUUUAUAUUGCCUUUUUUUUUUUACUGUAGCGGCUGUUGCAUAUAUACUUUCAACAGGCUUUCACUUGCCAGAGCUAUCAAAAAAAAUAUUUCAAAGAAAAGCAAAAUACAUUAACUUAAAAAUCUGAUAGUUUAAAUUAUUUGUGGUGCUGUUUGUUAUUGCUAGUACCGAUUAUCAAAUUUGAUUCACUGACAAUUUUAAAGGUUAUUAUGCAAAUUGCUAUUAAUUUGCUAUAUCAAAUUAUAAUUUAAUAUUACUUUAACGAAAUUUAUAGUUUAAAAAUGGUUGAUGUUUAUUUUCUAAAGAAGCCAGUUUUAUUCCAACGAAUAAAUUUCUUUAUUUCAAAUUUGAUUAUUAUAUUAUGUAAGAGUAUCAGGUAGUUGUAGGAUAACGUGUAUGUUGUUGAGAUAAAGGGGUUAUGGGUAUAUUCUGGUGAUGGCCAAUGUGAUAUAGCUUUAUAACAGGGCUGGUGUUCCUAAACAGAGUUUGCAGUACAAUAAUCGUAGAUUCCAAAUUAUUAUACCAAAUACGAAGAAUUUCUGCAACAAAUUUGAUACAGGAGAAAAGAAUACUGUACUCCAGUUCGACAUCACCUUUUAUCUUCAAGGAUAUAAUAUCUUCUUUAUUUUACCGCUUGCUUUUUUUUGCAGUUUGAUAUUAUUUUGGCGCAUAUCAACUGCUAGCAAAGCAAGGCAACUUGGAUUCAAUUUUGCUAGGAAUUCACUUUUACCGGGAAAGAUUUGUCAUUUAAAUGUUACUUAAUGUACCUCAUUUGUUACCAGGGUAAAAAAGUUUAUUGUGUUUAUAGGUUUAACGAAAAAUACUAUAUUUCUAUUCAUGUAAAUGAAUUAUAAAUGAGGUUGAUGUUCAGCCGUUAAUUCAAGGCAAAGUUAUUCAAAGCAAAUUUAAAAUCAAUUAACAGGAGGAAAAUAUUUAAUUUUUUAAAUAAAAAUGUACUAUGUAUAUACACUAUAGUAAUUUUGGUGUAGUGGUGUUAAGUGAAGUUUAUUUAUUGUAAUUUGCUAGAAUAUUCUUUUUUAAAUUUUAAUAUGUUGUCUUUUAUUUUCUCUUGUUUUCUUACACACCAAAUGUUUGUGUUUAAUUAAACGAGUGAAAUGAGAACAUAAUAUAUUGUAGAAAUGACAAUUUGUGUUCUAUUUUGAAGGUGGAUUUACAUGUCUAGUUAUUUGUACUAUGUCCAAGAGACCAAAAAUGUUAAAAGCUUGGAAUUGAGUGGUUUUGUGCUAUUUUUGAUUCAAGUUUAAAGUAUGCAAUGUAGAAAAAAAACAAAAAAAACAUGGGCUCUAACAAUUUGGUAGAGGAGUGUUGUGUGCUAAUUAAGUUGGUGUCGUUCCCAUGAAAACCAUACCUGGGAGCAAGUUCUGAUUUAAUUCAACUUGCUGAGACAAUGGCGCCCUCUAUACUUUAUAGCACUUCAGAGUGUGCCUAUGUGUAAAAUGGUAGCUUAAUAGUAAUUUAGAGGUUACAUACAAAUACGUUCCUUGGUUUAUUUUCAUUAGGCUGAAUUAAACUUCGAAAAUAUAGGUUAUAAGGGAAAACAUUUUUUCUUCAAAAUGGACUGUAACUAAUACAAGGUUUAUUGACAGAUGGGAGUUGUGUUUUCACUGCAUUUCCAUUGCUAGUCCAUAAUUGUGUGUCAAUUUUACAGUUCUCUAUUUUAAUAAAGUUGGACUAAGUGAAA
This 2897-nucleotide long non-coding RNA is filed under the name Anneissia japonica. RNAcentral describes it as "uncharacterized LOC117113176". Lineage: Eukaryota; Metazoa; Echinodermata; Crinoidea; Comatulida; Comatulidae. The record is from RNAcentral.